This 301-nucleotide long non-coding RNA is filed under the name Capsicum annuum. RNAcentral's name for it is "long non-coding RNA (CANN_LNC014333)". Lineage: Eukaryota; Viridiplantae; Streptophyta; Magnoliopsida; Solanales; Solanaceae. The record is from RNAcentral.
AAUAGUAUUUGAAUUCUCCAUAUAUCCACAGAUGGUGUAGCCACUAAAGCGCCAUAUUGGUCGCUUUAGUGGUAGGCGCUAAAGCACUAUUUGGCUGAUUAAGCAACUAGUUACCAGUUGGGCAAAGGGCAUUUUAGCGGACCUUUUACACUUUAGUGGAGGGAGCUAAAGCAACCUAUUUUUGCUUUAGCAGGAUGGAAUGCUAAGUACGUACCUCUAAAGGGAUACUUGACCACUUAAGCGGGUACCACUUACUAGCACCUGAAACCUAGGUAUAUAGAAUUCUUUUCUCAUUUUCUUC